RNAcentral lists this ribosomal RNA (254 nucleotides) under uncultured bacterium. RNAcentral's name for it is "partial 16S ribosomal RNA". It matches the Rfam family "Bacterial small subunit ribosomal RNA", at positions 524 to 776 of the family's 1533-position model. The record is from RNAcentral.
UACGAAGGGGGGCUAGCGUUGUUCGGAAUUACUGGGCGUAAAGCGUGCGCAGGCGGCUUCUCAAGUCAGGGGUGAAAGCCCAGAGCUCAACUCUGGAAUUGCCUUUGAGACUGAGUGGCUUGAGUACGGGAGAGGUGAGUGGAAUUCCCAGUGUAGAGGUGAAAUUCGUAGAUAUUGGGGAAGAACACCGGUGGCGAAGGCGGCUCGCUGGCCCGUAACUGACGCUCAUGCACGCAGCGUGGGGAUCAAACAGG